This 463-nucleotide ribosomal RNA is filed under the name uncultured bacterium. RNAcentral describes it as "bacterial SSU rRNA". It matches the Rfam family "Bacterial small subunit ribosomal RNA", at positions 355 to 825 of the family's 1533-position model. The record is from RNAcentral.
UAAGGAAUAUUGCGCAAUGGGCGAAAGCCUGACGCAGCGACGCCGCGUGGGGGAUGAAGGUCUUCGGAUUGUAAACCCCUUUCGGGAGGGAAGAUGGAAUGGGGUAACCCAUUCGGACGGUACCUCCAGAAGCAGCCACGGCUAACUUCGUGCCAGCAGCCGCGGUAAUACGAAGGUGGCAAGCGUUAUUCGGAUUUACUGGGCGUACAGGGAGCGUAGGCGGUUCGGUAAGCCCUUUGUGAAAUCUCCAGGCUUAACCUGGAAAAGUCGGAGGGGACUGCCGGGCUAGAGGACGGGAGAGGAGCGCGGAAUUCCCGGUGUAGCGGUGAAAUGCGUAGAGAUCGGGAGGAAGGCCGGUGGCGAAGGCGGCGCUCUGGAACGUUUCUGACGCUGAGGCUCGAAAGCGUGGGGAGCAAACAGGAUUAGAUACCUAGUAGUCCCUGAGCGGGCUGGCAAGGCGCAU